Molecule: long non-coding RNA, 592 nt
Filed under: Panax ginseng (ginseng)
Lineage: Eukaryota; Viridiplantae; Streptophyta; Magnoliopsida; Apiales; Araliaceae
Description: long non-coding RNA (PGIN_LNC001855)
Source: RNAcentral
GUGUGUGUGUAUGAGAGAGAGAAAGAGAGAGAGAGAGAGAGAGAGAGAGAGAGGCGCAAGUUUUGAUAGUUUGGAACAGCGAGUUCUCAGAUAUUUAAAGACUUAAUCAUGGAAAACAAUCUUAAAAAAUGAAAUGGUGGAGUAUUUUUAUUUACCAUUCCCCCGUUCCUUUUUAUUUAUCUAAUUUUUUUAGAUAGUAGUGGAAUUUAUUCUUUUUUAUUUGUCAUUUGUAAAUUUUUAAUAAAAUAUUAAUAAUUUAAUUUUUUAUAUUGUUCCUACAUUAAAUAUUAAUUAGUUUGUCAUUAAUAUUAUAUUGCUUUUAAACUUUGCAGCUGGCUUCUACAUUGGAAUAAAUGACUGAAUUAUUGGCGUAGAUUCCUCAUAUGCACGACGACGGAGUAGGACCACAUUUUUAUGUGUAAACAAAUUAAUUCCAUUUAUUACUUGAACCAGCAGCAAAAAUAAAAUAAAGAUAAAUGUAAAUAUGCAAUGCUACUCUAUCGGUUCCAUAUUAAGUGUCUCCCACAUUUUAAGAAAAAUAAUUAUCCUCUAUUGUAAAGUGUAAAAUUAAAAUUAAAUUAUUAAAUUACCC